RNAcentral lists this ribosomal RNA (424 nucleotides) under uncultured bacterium. Its description in RNAcentral is "bacterial SSU rRNA". It matches the Rfam family "Bacterial small subunit ribosomal RNA", at positions 358 to 773 of the family's 1533-position model. The record is from RNAcentral.
GGAAUAUUGCGCAAUGGGCGAAAGCCUGACGCAGCGACGCCGCGUGGAGGAUGAAGGCCUUCGGGUCGUAAACUCCUGUCGAGGGGGAAGAAAUGGUUCCUCGUGAAUAGCGAGGCGCCUUGACUGUACCCCUGGAGGAAGCCUCGGCUAACUCCGGGCCAGCAGCCGCGGUAAUACGGAGGGGGCCAGCGUUGCUCGGAAUUACUGGGCGUAAAGGGCUCGUAGGCGGUCUGAUAAGUCCUGUGUGAAAUCCCUUGGCUUAACCAAGGAAUUGCGCCGGAUACUGUCGGACUCGAGGCCGGGAGAGGGAAGCGGAAUUCCCAGUGUAGCGGUGAAAUGCGUAGAUAUUGGGAGGAACACCGGUGGCGAAGGCGGCUUCCUGGACCGGUUCUGACGCUGAGGAGCGAAAGCUAGGGGAGCAAAC